AUUGAACGCUGGCGGCAGGCCUAACACAUGCAAGUCGAGCGGAUGAAGGGAGCUUGCUCCUGGAUUCAGCGGCGGACGGGUGAGUAAUGCCUAGGAAUCUGCCUGGUAGUGGGGGAUAACGUCCGGAAACGGGCGCUAAUACCGCAUACGUCCUGAGGGAGAAAGUGGGGGAUCUUCGGACCUCACGCUAUCAGAUGAGCCUAGGUCGGAUUAGCUAGUUGGUGGGGUAAAGGCCUACCAAGGCGACGAUCCGUAACUGGUCUGAGAGGAUGAUCAGUCACACUGGAACUGAGACACGGUCCAGACUCCUACGGGAGGCAGCAGUGGGGAAUAUUGGACAAUGGGCGAAAGCCUGGUCCAGCCAUGCCGCGUGUGUGAAGAAGGUCUUCGGAUUGUAAAGCACUUUAAGUUGGGAGGAAGGGCAGUAAGUUAAUACCUUGCUGUUUUGACGCUACCAACAGAAUAAGCACCGGCUAACUUCGUG
RNAcentral lists this ribosomal RNA (484 nucleotides) under uncultured bacterium. Its description in RNAcentral is "partial 16S ribosomal RNA". It matches the Rfam family "Bacterial small subunit ribosomal RNA", at positions 30 to 507 of the family's 1533-position model. The record is from RNAcentral.